This 506-nucleotide ribosomal RNA is filed under the name uncultured bacterium. RNAcentral's name for it is "partial 16S ribosomal RNA". It matches the Rfam family "Bacterial small subunit ribosomal RNA", at positions 29 to 523 of the family's 1533-position model. The record is from RNAcentral.
AGUGAACGCUGGCGGUAGGCCUAACACAUGCAAGUCGAACGGCAGCACAGGAGAGCUUGCUCUCUGGGUGGCGAGUGGCGGACGGGUGAGGAAUACAUCGGAAUCUACUUUUUCGUGGGGGAUAACGUAGGGAAACUUACGCUAAUACCGCAUACGACCUACGGGUGAAAGCAGGGGAUCUUCGGACCUUGCGCGAUUGAAUGAGCCGAUGUCGGAUUAGCUAGUUGGCGGGGUAAAGGCCCACCAAGGCGACGAUCCGUAGCUGGUCUGAGAGGAUGAUCAGCCAGACUGGAACUGGGACACGGUCCAGACUCCUACGCGAGGCAGCGGUGGGGAAUAUUGGACAAUGGGCGCAAGCCUGAUCCAGCCAUACCGCGUGGGUGAAGAAGGCCUUCGGGUUGUAAAGCCCUUUUGUUGGGAAAGAAAUCCAGCUGGUUAAUACCCGGUUGGGAUGACGGUACCCAAAGAAUAAGCACCGGCUAACUUCGUGCCAGCAGCCGCAGUAA